Molecule: transfer RNA, 73 nt
Filed under: Felis catus (domestic cat)
Lineage: Eukaryota; Metazoa; Chordata; Mammalia; Carnivora; Felidae
Rfam family: tRNA
About the family: Transfer RNA (tRNA) molecules are approximately 80 nucleotides in length.
Source: Rfam by way of RNAcentral
GCCUGGCUGGCUCAGUCGGUAGAACAUGUGACUCUUGAUCUUGGGGUGGUGGGUUUAAGCCCCACGUUGGGUG